UACGUAUGGACCGAGCGUUGUCCGGAAUCAUUGGGAGUAAAGGGUACGUAGGCGGUUUAGAAAGUUAGAAGUGAAAGGCAAUAGCUCAACUAUUGUAAGCUUUUAAAACUGCUUGACUUGAGAGAUUGAUGGGAAAGUGGAAUUCCUAGUGUAGCGGUGAAAUGCGCAGAUAUUAGGAGGAAUACCAGUGGCGAAGGCGACUUUCUGGCCAUUAUCUGACGCUGAGGUACGAAAGCGUGGGUAGCAAACAGG
RNAcentral lists this ribosomal RNA (252 nucleotides) under uncultured bacterium. Its description in RNAcentral is "partial 16S ribosomal RNA". It matches the Rfam family "Bacterial small subunit ribosomal RNA", at positions 524 to 776 of the family's 1533-position model. The record is from RNAcentral.